UACGUAGGGUGCAAGCGUUAAUCGGAAUUACUGGGCGUAAAGCGUGCGCAGGCGGUUCGCUAAGACCGAUGUGAAAUCUCUGGGCUCAACCCAGAGUCUGCAUUAGAAACUGUCGGGCUUGAGUAUGGGAGAGGUGAGUGGAAUUUCCGGUGUAGCGGUGAAAUGCGUAGAUAUCGGAAGGAACACCUGUGGCGAAAGCGGCUCACUGGACCAUAACUGACGCUGAGGCGCGAAAGCCAGGGGAGCGAACGGG
This 253-nucleotide ribosomal RNA is filed under the name uncultured bacterium. RNAcentral's name for it is "partial 16S ribosomal RNA". It matches the Rfam family "Bacterial small subunit ribosomal RNA", at positions 524 to 776 of the family's 1533-position model. The record is from RNAcentral.